This is a non-coding RNA of Heterocephalus glaber (naked mole-rat), 1112 nucleotides long. The record is from RefSeq and is a predicted model, not a curated record. NCBI's taxonomy places the organism in Eukaryota, Metazoa, Chordata, Mammalia, Rodentia, Bathyergidae.
UGCAACUUAGUAGAAUGGGAUAUUGCAGAGUAGAAGUGUGUGUAGCUUGUGAUGGGAGCAGGGGGAUAAGACACUAGGGAAUGCUCCAGGAGGAAUGCUUGGGUCAAGCAUUGUAGGCCGGCAUUCUGAGUCCAGGCUGCAUGCAAGGACACUAAAGAGCAAACUACCUGUGGCGAGUAGGGAGGGUGCUCGGCAAGAGAUUAGGUGGACGAGUAAAGGCCCUGUAUGUCUUCCUGUAGAAUUACGGUUUGCUUUUGGGAUAGGGAGAACUGUAUAGUUGAAAGGGUUUGAAUCUGGUGAGAUUUGAAUUCUAAAAGAUCAUUCUGGUAGAUCAUGUUCUGGUGGACAGUGAAGUGGUGUAGGGAAUGAGACCAUAGAUGGGAGGGCAGCAGGGAAACUAAUGUGAUGGUUAGCAUCAGAAAAUAUGCAGAGCUAGGUGAGGCAGUGUAAAGGCAUGAAGGAAAUGGGCGUGACACGUGAAGACAACAGAAUAGAGAACUUACUGAUUAAUUGGAGGCCAUAAAAGGCAUCAGAGAUGACUCUUCCAUUUUAUCUUUGAGCGACCAGGUGAGUAUUAAUUCCAUUAACUGCCUGCUCCCCCAAAUAAAAUGCUGCACAAAGUCCAAGGAAGGUCUGAAAAAGUGUCCAGCAGUUAGGCAUCUAGGAUGUCAUUGAUGAUGGAGCAAACACAAAUGGGCAGAGGACAGCAUGUGGCCCUCCCUAAUGGAAUGGGCCUUGUCUGGUCUGCUGAAGGUCUGAAUCCACACAAAGGCUGCCUCUUCUACCAAUAAAGGGUGCUUCUGCCUGAUCAUCUUGAACUACCAAGGAUCGAACUUGGGUCCUGCUUGCGAGGGAGGCGGCGGAACCACUGAGCUAAAUCCUCGGCCCCAUAAUUGAAUGUUCUUAAUCAACCACUUAUAAGAUCAAGGCUCUGAGUAAUUGUGUAUAUGAUGCUUUUGGCCAUUUUAGGCAAACAAACAAAUAAAAUGAAGUUACCUGGUUGCUUCCAGUGUCAUUGGGCAAAGUGGGGAAAGAAAAGGAUGAGCUCAGGGAUUCAGAUUCCUAGCUUGAGCACCACAUAAAUGAUCCGAAGGCUCUGUGUGUGUCCUGAA